UCCUGGACUCAGUGACCGUGUCACGAGAAACCUUAGAGCUUCCACUCAUGGGUCCUUCGGAACGCUCACGCCGGGGGAAGCCAGCCGUCACACGAGACGUAUUCCCAAGUAUUCUGGGCCCCCAUGCUGUAGGGAAGCCAAACUAGUCAUGUAGGGGAGGCUGUGGAGAGAGAGAGAUUCUUGACCAGUCCCCCCUCCGCUCAGCCGCCCCACUGGUCCCAGACCGAGAAUCACACAUUCGAACAGAAAAGCGUUCGCAUCUCUCCAGCCCCAGCCGCCUUUGAUGGCUCCUGCUCCAGCAUUCCUAGUUGCAAGCUCCAUAUUUCCCAGUCGAGUCCCUGUCCUGAUGGAACAGCUACUUCCCAAUCCACAUGGAGCCCUGCCUUGCUGAGCUGCCCUCAUCUCCCUUUGGCCUCUCAGUGGCUCUGCACGGCUCACCUUAUGCCCGCUGGAGCCAGAACCCAUGAUGGAGACAGAUGAAGCCACGCUGGAGGUCUUCCAAAGGGGCAAUCCCAGAGAGGUAUGGAAUUUGACCCAAGGCUUGAUUUUCUGAAUGCGGAAGCACACGGCAUGACCAUCAACUUGAAGGAAGCUGGGAGCAGUCAGCUUGACAACCCGAGGUCAGAGGUCAUAUCUGGAAAGGCACAGGCAGAGAGGAAUUCAUGAAGAUUUCUCGCAAGAUCCAAGAAGCUUUUUUAAAAAAGAGAGUCUUUGGGGGCUCGUUUUGGUUAAAUACUACAGUAAGAAAUA
Long non-coding RNA from Panthera uncia (snow leopard), 750 nucleotides. RefSeq lists it as uncharacterized. Lineage: Eukaryota; Metazoa; Chordata; Mammalia; Carnivora; Felidae. The record is from RefSeq and is a predicted model, not a curated record. The transcript has 4 exons.